CCUACGGGAGGCAGCAGUGGGGAAUAUUGCACAAUGGGGGAAACCCUGAUGCAGCGACGCCGCGUGAAGGAAGGAGUAUUUCGGUAGGUAAACUUCUAUCAGCAGGGAAGAAAAUUACGGUACCUUACUAAGAAGCCCCUGCUAACUACGUGCGAGCAGCCGCGGUAAUACGUAGGGGGCAAGCUUUAUCCGGAGUUACUGGGUGUAAGGGGAUCGUAGGCGGUUUAGCAGGUCACAAGUGAAAGCCCGGGCCUAAACUCCGGAACUGCUUUUGAAACGGUUGAACUAGAUUGCAGGAGCGGUAAGUGGAAUUUCUAGUGUAGCGGUGAAAUGCGUAGAUAUUA
Molecule: ribosomal RNA, 344 nt
Filed under: uncultured bacterium
Lineage: Bacteria
Description: partial 16S ribosomal RNA
Rfam family: Bacterial small subunit ribosomal RNA
Source: RNAcentral